UUACCUGGUUGAUCCUGCCAGUAGUCAUAUGCUUGUCUCAAAGAUUAAGCCAUGCAUGUCUAAGUGCAAGCCAAAUUAAGGUGAAACCGCGAAUGGCUCAUUAAAUCAGUUAUGGUUCCUUAGAUAAUACUCCAAGUUACUUGGAUAACUGUGGUAAUUCUAGAGCUAAUACAUGCAAACAGAGUUCCGACUCGAGAGGGGAGGAACGCUUUUAUUAGAUCAAAACCAAUCGGUCGCCGGCCUCGGUCGCGCGCAUCCGCAUUCGUAUUUGGUGACUCUGAAUAACCACUUAGCAGAUCGCACGGUCUCGUACCGGCGACGCAUCUUUCAAAUGUCUGCCUUAUCAACUGUCGAUGGUAGGCUCUGCGCCUACCAUGGUUGUAACGGGUAACGGGGAAUCAGGGUUCGAUUCCGGAGAGGGAGCCUGAGAAACGGCUACCACAUCCAAGGAAGGCAGCAGGCGCGCAAAUUACCCACUCCCGGCACGGGGAGGUAGUGACGAAAAAUAACGAUACGGGACUCAUCCGAGGCCCCGUAAUCGGAAUGAGCACAACUUAAAUACUUUAACGAGUAUCCAUUGGAGGGCAAGUCUGGUGCCAGCAGCCGCGGUAAUUCCAGCUCCAAUAGCGUAUAUUAAAGUUGUUGCGGUUAAAAAGCUCGUAGUUGGACUUGUGUCCCACGCCGUCGGUUCGUCGCCCGUCGACGUAACCGCACGGUUAUGUGAGUGGGACGUCCAGCCGGUGGGUCGUCAGGUCGUGCUCAUGGCUGGCCGCGCACCCGGCGCGGCGUCCGUCGCUACCGCGGGCGGCACUUAGCUUGUGCGUCGGUCGUUUACUCGGCUGGCCCUCGCGGUGUCGUCGCCAGCGGGGCGGCAAUUAAAGGGCGCCCGUCGAUCAGUCGUGUCGCCGCGUCGGUCGGCACGGUGCCGGACCCAUGUUACUCGUCUCGGUGCUCUUAAUCGAGUGUCUUGACGGGCCGGCUCGUUUACUUUGAACAAAUUAGAGUGCUUAAAGCAGGCCAAUUGCCGCCUGAAUAUUGUGUGCAUGGAAUAAUGGAAUAGGAUCUCGGUUCUAUUUUGUUGGUUUUCUGAACCAGAGAUAAUGAUUAAUAGAGACUGACGGGGGCAUUCGUAUUACUACGUUAGAGGUGAAAUUCUUGGAUCGUAGUAAGACGAACAUAAGCGAAAGCACUUGCCAAGAAUGCUUUCAUUAAUCAAGAACGAAAGUUAGAGGUUCGAAGGCGAUCAGAUACCGCCCUAGUUCUAACCAUAAACGAUGCCAACUAGCGAUCCGCCGGUGUUCCUCCGAUGACCCGGCGGGCAGCUUCCGGGAAACCAAAGUGUUUGGGUUCCGGGGGAAGUAUGGUUGCAAAGCUGAAACUUAAAGGAAUUGACGGAAGGGCACCACCAGGAGUGGAGCCUGCGGCUUAAUUUGACUCAACACGGGAAACCUCACCAGGCCCGGACACUGGAAGGAUUGACAGAUUGAUAGCUCUUUCUUGAUUCAGUGGGUGGUGGUGCAUGGCCGUUCUUAGUUGGUGGAGCGAUUUGUCUGGUUAAUUCCGAUAACGAACGAGACUCUGGCCUGCUAACUAGUCGCACAUUGACGACAUCCGCAUUCGUGCUGUCGGCGACAAAUAUAAACUCUUCUUAGAGGGACAGGCGGCUUCUAGCCGCACGAGAUUGAGCAAUAACAGGUCUGUGAUGCCCUUAGAUGUUCUGGGCCGCACGCGCGCUACACUGAAUGGUUCAACGUGUGUCUCCCCUUGACCGAGAGGUCCGGGUAACCCGCUGAAAUCCAUUCGUGCUAGGGAUCGGGGCUUGCAAUUAUUCCCCGUGAACGAGGAAUUCCCAGUAAGCGCGAGUCAUAAGCUCGCGUUGAUUACGUCCCUGCCCUUUGUACACACCGCCCGUCGCUACUACCGAUUGAAUGAUUUAGUGAGGUCUUCGGACAGUCGCGCGGCGGCGCCCGCAAGGGCCCGUCGAUGUUCGACGGAAAGAUGAUCAAACUUGAUUAUUUAGAGGAAGUAAAAGUCGUAACAAGGUUUCCGUAGGUGAACCUGCGGAAGGAUCA
RNAcentral lists this ribosomal RNA (2072 nucleotides) under Suwallia errata. RNAcentral describes it as "SSU rRNA". It matches the Rfam family "Eukaryotic small subunit ribosomal RNA". The record is from RNAcentral. Lineage: Eukaryota; Metazoa; Arthropoda; Insecta; Plecoptera; Chloroperlidae.